UACGGAGGAUGCAAGUGUUAUCCGGAAUGAUUGGGCGUAAAGCGUCCGCAGGUGGCUGUGUAAGUCUGCUGUUAAAUAGUGAGGCUCAACCUCAUAAAGGCAGUGGAAACUACACGGCUAGAGUGCGUUCGGGGCAGAGGGAAUUCCUGGUGUAGCGGUGAAAUGCGUAGAGAUCAGGAAGAACACCGGUGGCGAAAGCGCUCUGCUAGGCCGCAACUGACACUGAGGGACGAAAGCUAGGGGAGCGAAUGGG
RNAcentral lists this ribosomal RNA (253 nucleotides) under uncultured bacterium. RNAcentral's name for it is "partial 16S ribosomal RNA". It matches the Rfam family "Bacterial small subunit ribosomal RNA", at positions 524 to 776 of the family's 1533-position model. The record is from RNAcentral.